Molecule: non-coding RNA, 69 nt
Organism: Kryptolebias marmoratus (mangrove rivulus)
Lineage: Eukaryota; Metazoa; Chordata; Actinopteri; Cyprinodontiformes; Rivulidae
Source: Ensembl
GAGAGAGGCAAGCACCGCAACGACGUUUGCUAAACCCCGUCUCUUUGGUUAAACUCCAAAGCUCCCUCG